CCUUCACUUUGGGGGGGGCCAAUUUGGGGGGUUUGGCCUCGGGGACGCCCGCGUCCCCCCCGCUCCCCAAAGCCACCUCCAGGGCCACCGCAGGGGCGGCCACCUCCAGGCCGGGCAUUUUGGGCCCUUCGCCGCCCUCGGCGGGCGUUUUGGGGCAAGAAAGGCCCAAUUUGGGCAAUUUCCCUUGGGCGCCGGCUUUGGGCAGCGCCAAACCCACCUCGACCUUGGGGACGGAGAUGGCCAGCACUGGUGCCACUGGUGCCACUGGGGUCACCUCCUUGGGUGGGGGGGGCGCCCAGCCCCACCUUGGGGACCGCCACCUUGGGGACCCCCACUUUGGGCACCCCCACUUUGGGGACCGCCACCUCCACGGCGGGCAAGCGGGGGCCCCCCCCCGCCUCUGGUGUCCCCCCCCCGGGCUCGGUGAGGGUCCCCGGCAGUGCCACCUCCAGCGCCGCCGCCUCCUCCCUCACCGUCACCCGCUGCGGCCGGGGGGCUUCGGGCACCGCGCGGGGGGGGGGGGGGGGGGGGGGGGGGGGGGGGGGGCGUGGGGAUGGCCAGCGGGAGGUGGUGGCACCCAUGGGUGUCCCCUUGUUCCUGGUGACAGCCGUGGGUGUCCCAUGUCCCUUGUGUCACCCAUGAGCACCCUACGCCCCCAGUGCCACCCACGGGUGCCCCACGUCCCUGUAGCCACCUAUGGGUGCCCCAUGUCCCCAGCACCACCCAUGGGUGCCCCAUGUCCCCGGUGCCACCCACAAGCACCCCAUAUCCCCAGUGCCACCCAUGGAUACCCCAGUGCCACCCACGAGCACCCCACACCCCCAGUGCCACCCAUGGGCACCCAGUGCCACCCAUGGGUGCCCCAUGUCCCCGGUGCCACCCACGAGCACCCCAUAUCCCCAGUGCCACCCAUGGGUGUCUCACGUCCCCAGUGCCACCCAUGGGUGUCCCAUGCCCCCAGUGCCACCCAUGGGCACCCUGUGUCACCCAUGGGUGUCCCAUGUCCCCAGUGCCACCCACGAGCACCCCAUGUCCUCAGUGCCACCCAUGGGUACCCCAGUGCCACCCACAAGCACCCCAUGUCCCCAGUGCCACCCAUGGGUGCUCCAUGUCCCCGGUGCCACCCAUGGGUGCCCCAUGUCCCUGUAGCCACCUAUGGGUGCCCCAUGCCCCCAGCACCACCCAUGGGUGCCCCACGUCCCCGGUGCCACCCACGAGCACCCCACGCUCCCAA
This 1234-nucleotide long non-coding RNA is filed under the name Anas platyrhynchos platyrhynchos (common mallard). RNAcentral describes it as "lncRNA (ENSAPLG00000022809.1)". Lineage: Eukaryota; Metazoa; Chordata; Aves; Anseriformes; Anatidae. The record is from RNAcentral.